This is an RNA transcript of Phycodurus eques (leafy seadragon), 4439 nucleotides long. It is a transcript of the gene named RIC8 guanine nucleotide exchange factor B, with no coding region annotated. Lineage: Eukaryota; Metazoa; Chordata; Actinopteri; Syngnathiformes; Syngnathidae. The transcript is spliced from 11 exons. The record is from RefSeq and is a predicted model, not a curated record.
ACCGACACCUAAACGCACCAAGCUAGCCUGACAGCUAGCUAGCUAGACAGUUUAAAAACGCACAAAGAGUGUUGUUUUUCCUCUGACAGCCAACAUGGACUUAAACAACGUGUUGUCGCAGCUCGAAAGUGCUAAUGAGGUGGACAUUGAGGAGCUUCUCAAGGUGUUUAAUCGAGAGAACAGCCACACCUUCACUUUCGACCCAAAGGAGGAAACGCUGCGCAGUAAGCUCUGCCAGAGUGUUCUGAUAGUGCUCGGGAUGCACGUGCAGCCCAGCUGUCAGAAGACGUGUCUGGAGACCCUCCGCAUCCUCUCCCGGGACAAGUGCGUCCUGACACCAGUCGCCACCCGGGACGGCAUGCUGACUCUGGCCAAGAUGGCCCGUUUGGGCACAGGGGAGACGGCGGGCGACGGCCAGGAGCCCCCGCAGCCAAGCGCGCCGGUGGCCGAGGAGGAGAGAGUAGUGGUGGUGGAGGCCCUGAAGUGCUUGUGCAACGUGGUGUACAACAGCGCGGCGGCUCAGCAGGUGAGCGUGGAUGUGAAACUGGCACACGGCCUGUGCGCUAGCCUGCACGCGGCCGCCGCGUGGCACCACGAGGUGGGCCUGUUCACGCUGCGCCUCCUCUUCCUGCUGUCGGCGCUGCGCUCGGAUCUGCGGGGGGAGCUGAGGAGGGAAAAGCAGGUGGUGAAGCGCCUGGCCGAGGUGCUGGAGCACACCCUGGACGUGAGGUGGGCUGGCACCUACGAGGCCGCCCUGCCGGACCCCCAGGCCCUGCCCCUGCCUGCAGAGGAAAAUGAGAGAGCAAUGGAAGCUCUCAAAGCUCUCUUCAACCUCACUGUGUGCAAUGUUGGUGGCAAGGAGGACGACCACCAGUACAGAGUCAUCGCGGCCAUCCUGCGCCACAUGCUGAUGUUAAGGACCGAGACAGAGGAGAAAACGGAGGAAGCACACAGCCAUGCUGUCAAUCUGUUGAACAACCUGCCCGUGUCCUGCCUGGACGUUUUAAUCGACUUGCCCGUACGGGGAGGCCUGGAAGAAUAUGGCGGCAAAAACAUGGACGCCAUACAGGUGUUACUGGACUUCAUGGAGAAACGGAUCGACAAGGGCGCCAACUACAAAGAGGGUCUUACUCCUGUGCUCAGCCUGCUGACUGAAGGGUCCAGACACCACAGAGAGAUCCGCCGAUAUAUCAAAACUCAGGUGCUUCCUCCACUCACAGAUGUGAAGAUCAGGCCAGAGGUGGGAACCACCACCAGGAACAAACUGGUGCGCCUGAUGACGCACGUGGAAAUGGCCGUCAAGCAGGCGGCUGCAGAGUUUCUCUUUGUCUUGUGUAAAGAGAGUGUGGACAACCUGUUGAAGUACACGGGUUACGGGAACGCGGCAGGACUCCUGAUGGCGCGAGGGCUGCUGGGAGGAGGGAGAGGGGAGACAGAGUACUCACCGGACGAAGACUCUGACACAGAAGAAUACAAAACUGCAAAACCUUUCAUCAACCCCAUCACCGGUCAUGUGGAGGAGCCCAUGCCCAACCCCAUGGAGGAGAUGACCGAGGAGCAGAAGGAGUAUGAAGCCCAGAAGCUUGUCAACAUGUUGGACAAGUUGUCGAGGCAGAGCUUGAUCCGUCCCAUGGGAGUCAAGCCAGACGGGACGUUAGCCCCCCUGGAAGAAACGCUGCAUGCGCCGCCUGGAGACGACGCUGGAUCAGACUCUGAUUAGAGCAAAACACGCCACGUGUCGGGAGUGGGCGGGGGCUGAGCCCAGAGAGGGAGGAAAAGCCCCCAAGCUGUGUCACAUUUCAAGGCUGGAUCUUUCAGAUGACCUCAUGGAAGGUCGCCCAGUUCCACGUGGUCCCCCCUGCGCAACGGGAUCCUCUGGAACGGUCCCACGGCGUGCCGGUUGAGGAGGAGACGCGGCACCGUGGCGCGCACUGUGUUCACCAGGCUGGCAAAAGGCUCGAUCUGAAAUGCCAUUUGUUAACAAUUCAAGUGACGUUGGAAGGUGGGAGCUCCUCAGAUGCUGCUGACGACCUGUAGCGACGUCCCCAUGAUGACCAGCAGGUCAGCUUUGGGGAAGUCUUUGGUAUGGAGGAAGUACUUCUGAGGAAGGUCCUCGCCAAAAAAAACCACGUCGGGCUUGACCGUGGCAGCGCAGAAUGUGCACGUGGGGACGUCGCCGCUCAUGAUGGCGCGCUAGGAGACAAUUGCCGAUGUCAAAAGUGGGCAACCUGCGUGAUAUUGAAAUGUGUUCAUGGGGGUUCAAACACACCUUUGCUUCCUCUGAGGGGUACGGCGUGUAGCACAGGUGACAGGAAGCGGUGGCAAAACUGCCGUGAGCUUCUACCAGUUUGUCAUCAGGGAUGCCGCACACUGAGGAGGCAACCAUUACUUAAGUAAACAAAGCCAAAAUCUAAAAACGGACUUGAACACGUUGGAUCGGAUGCCGUUUGAAAUAGUGCUCUUAUUUUAACUGUAAUCGGUUGCUACCAGACAGAAUGGCUUUAUGAGAGUGACACUUCAUGAAAAAACGUUUCUCAGAAGAAAAGCAAUUUAAAACCACAGGUUAAAAAUUGAUUAUCGAUAGAGGAGGCCCAGUGUUUAGUAGGUCGUUCACCCCACAUUUCUCAGGUUCCGGGUUUGAAUUUCCGCUGCGGCCAUCCUGUAUGUUUGUAGUUUGCAUGUUCUCCCUGCGUUUCCGUGGGUUGGCUCCCACAUUCUAAAGACAUGCAGGUUCGGUUCAUGGAGGAAUCUAAAUUGGCCAUAGGUGUGAAUGUGAGUGUCAAUUAAUGCUUGUUUGUCUAUAUGUGUCCUGCGAUUGAUUGGCGACCGGUCCAGGACGUACCCCACCUCUGGCCCAAAGUCAGCUGGGCUAGGCUCCAGCCCACCCGCGAUCCUAAUGAGGAUGUGCUAUAGAAAAUGGAUGGAGGAUUGAUGGAAGCCCACUACUAGCAAAGUCCUGACCACUUCUGUCAAAUUCAAUGUGGCCUACUGGAAAGAUGCCCAGUUGUAUUUUUACAUGCGGCACUCACAUUUCUCCAGGCCGUCGAUGUUCUGCGUGUAGACGCGGAGCAGCAGGCCCUUGUGGUGCAGCAUGCGGAUGAAGAAGUGGAUGUAGUUGGGUCUGUGGCUCCCGGGAUAGAGCACCUUGGCCAGAGAGAAGAAAGGCUGUGGGUCGUUGGAGAAGUAGUCGACGUUGAAAAUGGCUUCCGGGUAGGGGAUGUUGUAUGCCUCCAAGUUGGCGUAAAGGCCCGUUCCUGGAGUUCUGACAAAAGCCAGUAGCCAGUUGAAGAGGGCGCUCCAAUUAUGAAAUAAAAGAGGGGCCAGAACACAAACCUGAAGUCGGGAAUUCCGCUGGCGGUGCUGAUUCCGGCUCCUGCCACCACCACAAUGUUCUUACAGCGACCCAUCUUCAUCCGAUGGGCCACGGAGGCCAGGCCGCCACCAGAUUUGGCCAAAGAGGGGCCAUCUUGACGUUGACCUAACUGCUUUCCUUCACUGAAGAAGCCAAGAGAAGACCCAAGGAGAGUUUCAAAGAUGAAGUCAUAAUAUGAUUCUCAAAGAAUCAAAAGUUUUCCCACCUGGCAGUCAGGCCUCCCUGCCCGCUUACGCUCAUCUGACUGAGGUCCUGAGUCAGUGCAGAGUGCGACUGCUUCUUGCGUUGUUUCCUGUACUGGCCCGGUCCAGAGUCCUUAGACCCGGUACUGCUGCAACUGCGUGUUAGUCGAGCGACCGCAGGCCAUGUGGAUCUUUUAUCCUCGUUGGACUUGGACCUGCUCAUCCCUGCACCUUGCAGCCCUCCAUAAAAAUAAAAAAAAAUUAUUAUUUUUUUUUUUUACACAAAUCAUGCUUAAAAAGAAGGAAAUCUGCCAUUUUGAUUUGAAACAGUCAUUUUAGAAUCAGAAUCAUCUUUAUUUGCCAAGUAUGUCCAAAAAACACACAAAUAAUUUGUCACUUUAGCCAUUUUUAGGGGUCAAACAAAACUGUAUUUUUUUGUAUUUGCUUUGCUUUAACUCGGCUGUCUGCAGCCAGGUCGGCAUCGCAAAUGAGAAUCUGUUCUUAAUUGCUUCACCUCGAUAAAUAAAGGUGGCAAAAAUAACUUGUUGAGAUCUCCGACUGCUACAAAACCUAACCAUGCAACGUGGUACCUUGACUUAGAUACAUAGCUGCUCAAGUAAAAAUGAAAAAAACAGCAAAAGUUGCCAAUGCAGAACAGCAACUUUAAGCCAAAAUGUACACCCAGAUGCUCAAACAAUGACUAGCCGACCAUGUUCCUGACAUCGCUCACUAGGUCACACCCCUUAAAGGCACACAUACACCGCUACUGUUGUAGUGACUCUACUUGGCCCAAUCUACAAUUAUUACACUAUAAAACCAGUAUAUUUACAAUCCCCUUUAUUAUGUUUUCAUUAGGGCUGCAACUAACAACGAUUUUAAUCAUC